AUGGAUUUAAACCCAUCAGUGACGUGCUGGAAUGUCCGAGGCUUGAACAAUCCAGCAAAGAGGCAAGCAGUUAAAGACUUCCUAGUGUCGGUGCGGCCUAACUUAGUGUGCUUACAAGAAACUAAGCUUGAUGUAGUGGAUAAUUUUAUUAUAAUGCAAUGUUGUGGGCCGUCCUUAGAUGGCUUUCCUUAUUUCCCGGUGGUUGACACGAGAGGUGGGAUCAUAUUAGCUUGGGAUACCACCGUGAUGAUGGUUGAUAACAUCACGCGCGACAUAAACUCCCUCACUGGCUUGGUGCACCCAAAGUCAGGGGACGAUUGGUGGAUCACCGUGGUCUAUGGGCCACAAGGAGAUGACCUCAAGACUCUAUUCCUUGAGGAGCUGAACAUGAGGAGAACCGCAUGUCCGAGGCCGUGGAUGGUCCUAGGUGACUUCAACUUAAUCCUUCGAGCCUCGGAGAAAAAUAACAUGAACCUAAAUCGGGCCAUGAAAAUAAGUUCAGAAGUUUUGUUGAUAACAACAAGCUGA
This 528-nucleotide ribosomal RNA is filed under the name Triticum aestivum (bread wheat). Its description in RNAcentral is "partial small subunit ribosomal RNA". The record is from RNAcentral. Lineage: Eukaryota; Viridiplantae; Streptophyta; Magnoliopsida; Poales; Poaceae.